Long non-coding RNA from Cygnus olor (mute swan), 1114 nucleotides. RefSeq lists it as uncharacterized. NCBI's taxonomy places the organism in Eukaryota, Metazoa, Chordata, Aves, Anseriformes, Anatidae. The transcript is spliced from 3 exons. The record is from RefSeq and is a predicted model, not a curated record.
CCUGGGGUGGGGACACCAAAGCCUGAGGUGCCUUAUGGGCCCUUGAUGCCCGGCUCCUUUCAGCUUCCCUGCCUCUGUCCUCUGACAGGCCUUGUGGGGUUCAAACACUGGUGAAAGUACUGAGAAGGUACGGGCUUACUUUGGGGAACAGCAGGCAGCAGAGUGGAUUUUUCUGAAGCGAACUGCUGAGGGCCUGUGCCUGGUGUCAUGGGGUGAGGCGGGAGGGAGGCCGCCACCACUGAGAAGAGCCAGUGGGCGCUCCUCACCUCAGGGCUUGUAAAACAGGGCCGGGACUGAGGGCGGUGCUGAGGGGAACAUGGCUCAGGAACCCCUGGGAGCUAAAUUAUGGAGGUGGCAGCUGAAGAGCCAGCCAGCAGGGGAUGGCUGCAGGGCAAAGCACGGUGAUGGCCGGGUGUGAGGCAGGGCGCUUCACGGGGUGGGGAAAGGUCUGAAACCGGCCAAGAUGGAAGGGGCUGAGGCUGAUGGGCUGUUAACUGCAGGCUCUGGGAGCUGUUGGCCCUGCCAGCCUUGCACCACCGCCCUCACUGCCAGCCUGGGCAGGGCCUGCCCAGCACCUCAGCACCUCCCUUCCCACCUUGGCAACCAAACACCGCCACAGCCAGCAGCCACCUCACCCCGAGCAGGUCAGUGCGGCAGCCCCGGCCAGAGGAGGGACCCUGACCCAGGCUGGGCUCACACGGGUGCGAUUUGGGUGUUCUUUCUGCAGGGUGCCCAAUGCCAGGUGCAGGAGCCUUCACCUGCCCCAGCUGCCGCAUGGCAUUCAGCUCCCGGCCGCUGCUGCGGGCACACCAGGAGCGGCUCUGCGUUGGGACACCGGUGGACAGCAGCUCCCAUGGCCCCAGGGGGUGCCCAGGCAGGGUCAGGAGGCUUCAGGACCCCUCGGUUGGGAUGUCCCAGAAUGGAGACCACGCCGAGCAACACCAUCUCCUCCUGCUUUCUGGGCUCCCUCUGGCCAUGCUGGGACCACGGGGGCCAAGGCGAGCCCGGGGGAUGCCCCUGGGGGGCGUCCUCACACCCCGCGAGAGGACCCUGCUCCGUGCCACCGAGCCUGGUGGCCACAGCACCCAGCAGCCUGCUGCCAGGGGGCUGACAA